Long non-coding RNA from Solanum dulcamara, 697 nucleotides. RefSeq lists it as uncharacterized. The transcript has 3 exons. Lineage: Eukaryota; Viridiplantae; Streptophyta; Magnoliopsida; Solanales; Solanaceae. The record is from RefSeq and is a predicted model, not a curated record.
UGUGUCACACCAAUUUUGAUUACAGUUGAGAGGUAAUUGUGUAUUAUCCCAAAAAAAUGAAAAAUAAACUCCCGCUGUUUGGAGAAAAGAUUUGCCCCUAUUUUAAAAACCCUUUGAUUCUGUAAUUUUGUAUAUUCUGGUCGUCCACGGCUACCAUUUAAUCUCGCCGGCGGUGAAGUAGUAUUGCCAGAAUUAACCAUGGUUCCCAACAUGCAAAACUCGAAAAGGCCCAGACUUGAAGAUCCAGCAGAAAUUGCAAGCUCAAGCACAAACCCUCCUAACAAAAAUGAAGUGCAAAGUCCAACAACUCCAGAUCAAACAGUUGGGGUCUCAGGCAGGAAUCAAUGUGUUGAUUGAAUUCAUAAAGUCCCUUUGUUCUGCUCAGGGAAAUCAUGCGUAUUUAGCUCAGCGAAGACAGACGGAGCAAUAAUGAUACAAGGAUUCUGUGUUACCAUGGAUUGCUGACUUCACAUAUUAGUUUGUGUAGCAGAUCCUUCUUUUACUUUUCCCCCUGGUCAAUUGUUGUAGUAGUCACUAGUGUAGCAGUUUUUAGUUGUUGUAGGAGUAACAGCUGUAGUUGACAGUUUCUUUGUUUCCCAUUAUUUUGUCGUUGUACUAAGGUGAUGAUGUUCACCGGUAAUGCCAUUCUAACAUAGAUGCUUUAACCUUUCUAGUAGUGACGAAUACUAUUUUUCCU